This 328-nucleotide ribosomal RNA is filed under the name uncultured eukaryote. RNAcentral describes it as "partial 18S ribosomal RNA". It matches the Rfam family "Eukaryotic small subunit ribosomal RNA", at positions 1470 to 1796 of the family's 1831-position model. The record is from RNAcentral.
CCCAUAGAUGUCCUGGGCCGCACGCGCGUUACACUGAUGCAUUCAACGAGCUUAUAACCUUGGCCGAGAGGCCUGGGCAAUCUUGUUAACGUGCAUCGUGAUAGGGAUAGAUUAUUGAAAUUAUUAAUCUUGAACGAGGAAUUCCUAGUAAACGCAGAUCAUCAAUCUGCAUUGAUUACGUCCCUGCCCUUUGUACACACCGCCCGUCGCACCUACCGAUUGGAUGGUCCGGUGAAGCCUCGGGAUUGUGGUUCUUGCCGCUUUAUUGUGGCGUGACCGCGAGAACUUGUCUAAACCUUAUCAUCUAGAGGAAGGUGAAGUCGUAACA